Molecule: ribosomal RNA, 509 nt
Filed under: uncultured Planctomycetota bacterium
Lineage: Bacteria; Pseudomonadati; Planctomycetota
Description: bacterial SSU rRNA
Rfam family: Bacterial small subunit ribosomal RNA
Source: RNAcentral
GUAGGCGGCUUGGCAAGUUGGGUGUGAAAUCCCUCGGCUCAACCGAGAAACUGCGCUCAAAACUGCCAAGUUAGAGGAAGAUAGAGGUGAGCGGAACUAAUGGUGGAGCGGUGAAAUGCGUUGAUAUCAUUAGGAACACCUGUGGCGAAAGCGGCUCACUGGAUCCUUUCUGACGCUGAGGCACGAAAGCUAGGGUAGCGAACGGGAUUAGAUACCCCGGUAGUCCUAGCCGUAAACGAUGAGCACUAGGUUGGAGGCUCCUUCAUAGGCUUCCGACCGAAGCGAAAGUGUUAUGUGUUUCUCUUUUGGGAGUAUGGUCGCAAGGCUGAAACUCAAAGGAAUUGACGGGGGCUCACACAAAUCACUAGUGAAUUCGCGGCCGCCUGCAGGUCGACCAUAUGGGAGAGCUCCCAACGCGUUGGAUGCAUAGCUUGAGUAUUCUAUAGUGUCACCUAGAAUAGCUUGGCGUAAUCAUGGUCAUAGCUGUUUCCUGACAUUCCGGGGUUUUU